RNAcentral lists this ribosomal RNA (941 nucleotides) under uncultured organism. Its description in RNAcentral is "bacterial SSU rRNA". It matches the Rfam family "Bacterial small subunit ribosomal RNA", at positions 505 to 1466 of the family's 1533-position model. The record is from RNAcentral.
GUGCCAGCAGCCGCGGUAAUACAUAGGAGUCAAGCGUUAUCCGGAUUAACUGGGCUUAAAGAGCGUUGAGACGGCUUCGUAAGUUGACGUGAAGCUCCCGGCUUAACUGGGAGAGACCGUUCAAUACUGCGGGGCUUGAGGACAGCAGAAGGGGUUGGAAUUUCCGGUGUACUGGUGAAAUGCGUAGAUAUCGGAAGGAACACCAGUGGCGAAGGCGGCCCCAUGGGCUGCUCCUGACGCUGAAGGCGAAAGCUAGGGUAGCGAACGGGAUUAGAAACCCCGGUAGUCCUAGCCGUAAACGAUGGAUACUAGGUGUAGGAGGUUAAAAUUCCUUCUGUGCCGGAGCUAACGCGUUAAGUAUCCCGCCUGGGGAGUACGGUCGCAAGGCUAAUACUCAAAGGAAUUGACGGGGGCCCGCACAAGCAGCGGAGCGUGUGGUUUAAUUCGAUGCAACGCGAAGAACCUUACCAGGGCUUGACAUGUAGGUAGUAGUGAAGCGAAAGCGGAACGAUCCUUCGGGAAGCCUACACAGGUGCUGCAUGGCUGUCGUCAGCUCGUGCCGUGAGGUGUUAGGUUAAGUCCUGUAACGAGCGCAACCCCUGCCGUUAGUUACAAGUGUCUAACGGGACUGCCCGGCAAAACUGGGAGGAAGGUGGGGAUGACGUCAAGUCAGCAUGGCCUUUAUGUCCUGGGCUACACACACGCUACAAUGGCCGGUACAAUGGGUUGCCAAGCCGCGAGGCGGAGCCAAUCCUCUAAAGCCGGUCUCAGUUCGGAUUGUAGGCUGCAACCCGCCUGCAUGAAGUUGGAGUUGCUAGUAACCGCAGGUCAGCCACACUGCGGUGAUACGUUCCCGGCAUGUACACACCGCCCGUCACGUCAUGAAGCUGGUACACCUGAAGCCGGUGAACUACCGCAAGGAAGCAACCGUCGAAGGUGGG